GAGGAGUCUGUCUCUGAGGGGAGACCUCCCUCUCCUGCACCCACCUGUGUGUCUAUGAAGAGCGAUCAGUCCAAGGCUUCAGGCAUUAAUUUCAAAGGACCAGACUCUUCACCCAAACAGAUGGAGGAGUCUGUCUCUGAGGGGAGACCACCCUCUCCUGCACCCACCUGUGUGUCUAUGAAGAGCGAUCAGUCCAAGGCUUCAGGCAUUAAUUUCAAAGGACCAGACUCUUCACCCGAACAGAUGGAGGAGUCUGUCUCUGAGAGGAGACCUCCCUCUCCUGCACCCACCUGUGUGUCUAUGAAAAGCGAUCAGUCCAAGGCUUCAGGGAUUAAUUUCAAAGGACCAGACU
Engraulis encrasicolus (European anchovy) is the source of this 352-nucleotide long non-coding RNA. RefSeq lists it as uncharacterized. The record is from RefSeq and is a predicted model, not a curated record. Lineage: Eukaryota; Metazoa; Chordata; Actinopteri; Clupeiformes; Engraulidae. The transcript has 3 exons.